Molecule: long non-coding RNA, 1059 nt
Organism: Oreochromis niloticus (Nile tilapia)
Lineage: Eukaryota; Metazoa; Chordata; Actinopteri; Cichliformes; Cichlidae
Exons: 3
Source: RefSeq, a predicted model, not a curated record
GAAAAGAUGGAAAGAGCAGCAAAGUAUGAAGAAGAGAAAAGGAGAAGCUAUAUUUCAGGAAUGACAGACCGUUAAGGGGCAGCUGGCAGCAGUUUCUCUCACUUCUGGUCUGUGCAGUUGGGUUAUGAAUCAAAGAGUCAGCUGAAAGGAACCGCAAGAGAAAGAAGAUAAAUCACAUUUCCCUGCUAUAAUUUAUGGAGGUGAGCCGGUGUUAUAUGAGCAAAUUCUGUCCCAGCAAACACCGCUGGUGAAAAGCAGUGGAGGAAAACCUGAAAAGGAAGACGAAGUCAUACACGGCAUCUCUCCCUGCGAGCAGGAAAAGUGAGCUCAUUACAAACCUCAUUGUCCGUAACCACGACAGAGAAGAAAGGCUGGAGAAAAGCUGAUGUAAAAAUGCUGAAUGUGACACAUCAAACCCGUGUAACCAAAGGAGUGCGGCUUUAAGAAGACUGCUCAGUUUUGGGUUUUUUACCAGAGCUCGAGGAGGACACUAAAACAUUCAGUAAAGAACAAGAUGAACUGAUUGUUCUGUACUGGUGCCACUGGAAGCCACUGUUUGAAUUCAGCUUAUUAUAGAAGCUAAUCUAAGAAAUAUGUAGUGAAACACAUAAAAAUGGAUGCUGUAGGGGAAUUGUUCUUUUUUUUAUAUAAUAAACUAUUUAUUCAUCUGCUGCUCUGUACAUAAAAACAUAAUUUACAGGUAUUCCAACUGGUCUUUGAGGAUGAGGGGAACAGGUGAAAGCAAGCUGAGCGACUCCUGCUCAGAGACUGAUUUGAUAUGCAAAUAAUGUUGACCCGUGGUCCAGGUCUGACAGAGUGGCCAUCUGUUAGCAAGCCAGAGUGGCUGGUGGACGAGACCCCCAACAGUAAUCCCUCUGCCUUUAGCCCUCUAAAAAUAACCUGCUUUCCAUGUUUGUUGUUCUAUUAAUGCAGAAAUAAAGUGCAUUGAGCCAGUUUUCCAAAUAACAUGUUGUGGUUUGUUUUCUGUGCACGACGACUGUUGGUAGAAAAAUAGAUACAUAUUCAUAAAGCACAUUCAGUAAUAAUGUAUUGACUGUA